AGAGUGAACGCUGGCGGCAGGCCUAACACAUGCAAGUCGAACGGCAGCACAGCAGUAGCAAUACUGUGGGUGGCGAGUGGCGGACGGGUGAGGAAUACAUCGGAAUCUACCUUGUCGUGGGGGAUAACCUCGGGAAACCGGGACUAAUACCGCAUACGAACUAUGGUUGAAAGCGGCGGACCGCAAGGCGUCGCGCGAUUGGAUGAGCCGAUGUCCGAUUAGCUAGUUGGCGGGGUAAAGGCCCACCAAGGCGACGAUCGGUAGCUGGUCUGAGAGGAUGAUCAGCCACACUGGAACUGAGACACGGUCCAGACUCCGUACGGAGGCAGCAGUGGGGAAUAGUUGGACAAGUGGGGGCAACCUGAUCCAGCCAUGCCGCGUGUGUGAAGAAGCCUUCGGUAGUAAGUCACUUUUUGGUUAGGGUAAGAAAACGCAACGUUGGUUAAAUACGUU
RNAcentral lists this ribosomal RNA (453 nucleotides) under uncultured soil bacterium. Its description in RNAcentral is "bacterial SSU rRNA". It matches the Rfam family "Bacterial small subunit ribosomal RNA", at positions 26 to 476 of the family's 1533-position model. The record is from RNAcentral.